Molecule: long non-coding RNA, 442 nt
Filed under: Mus pahari (shrew mouse)
Lineage: Eukaryota; Metazoa; Chordata; Mammalia; Rodentia; Muridae
Description: lncRNA (MGP_PahariEiJ_G0003418.1)
Source: RNAcentral
GGGCAGAGAGGGAGAGAUGGAGUCCUGAGGGGGCGCUGGAGUCCUGAGGGGGCGGGACACUGGAGUCCUGCGGAGUUGAUGGACAGGGAGGAGUGGUCCUGAAGGGGAACUGGAGUCAUGGCAGUGGAUGAUGAACAGGAGAGGUCCAGAGAGGGGCUGAAGUAACUUAAGGAUGAAGUGGAGUAAAACCGACCUGGAGACUCUGGGAGGAUUGGCAAGAGCGGUGAAACCUUCCAGUGCUUUUGACUUUGUCCAGCAGCAAGCUGUGCGUUCACGCUUAAGGUGGUUGUAGUGACCCUGUGGUGUGCUUUAAGGACCUUUAUCACUGGAAAGUGGGUACCCAAGAGGCUUUGAUGAGGUCCCAGAACAAGAAGAACUGGAGGAAGCUGGAUGGUGAGACUGGGAAGCACUUUAGUCAUUCAUUAAAUUGUUGCUGUUCUCA